UUCAUUUACAGUUUUAUUUAUUUAUUUUUAUUUUAUUUAUUUAAAAAAAUAUAUAGAAUCAACUAAACUGCCCAAGUUUCUCUUGUGGCCCCUUAGGAAAAUUAAUUGCCCACCCCUGGUCUACAUUCAAGGCUUUCUAAUGAAAUAAGGUGGUUGAGGUUUCAUUUGAAAAAAAAAAAAAAAGUGUGAGUCACGUGCAGAGUGUCAUAAUACUACAUUUAAAUAAAUUAAAUGUAUGGUUUAAUAAUAAUUUAAUUAGAUUAAGUUAAUUAUUUAUGUAAUGUUCUAAUUUUAUAUGAUUAUUUAUGUAAAUUCUGCGUGACUGUGACGUGUUUUAAUGCGUGCGUGCUGAACGUUCGAGCCGCGUUGGUUCAAACACUGGAGCGGAGGGAGUUGCCAUGGUAACGGGGCGUCAACACAACCAUAGACAUAAUAUGAACACAACGACCGACAAGCAGGAAGCUCCGUUUCUCGCUGCAGUUUUUACUGUUUUCGAAGAAGAAAAAAACAGCAACAUGGGAGGCUCCAAGAUUUCACAAUUUCUGAAGGGAGCCGCAGACAGAGAAGUAAGGAACACAAGUGAACAGGUGAAGCUUCUAAACAUUUUUAAGAGGGCUUUGACAUCCACAAGUAAGAAGUAUGAGCAAUAUUAAAUAAGUAAACCUAGAAGCAAAUUGUUAUGUUAAAAAAAUAUUUUCUGUAUAUUCUUCUUUCUCUUUUCUACAUUUCACCUGCUCUAGCUUGGUUCCUUGUAAUAAACCUGGCUGGCAUUGUAUACUAAAUAUUGUUGGCUCUGUGACAAAUUGCUUGUUAUGUUCCUACAUUCUUCCAUGUUGAUGGCCUGCACACCAGACUUAGAGCGGACCUCCUGUCGGACAACAUCUCCCAGGCACAAUGAACCAUAUGGCUAAUGCUCACAAAGGUUACUAGAGAUUACACCAGUUCCAGUUUGGAUCCAGCCUGGCGUGUGAAGACUUCAGAAGACGCCAGCACUCAAAGACUUCAGAUGAUGGCAACUAGAUGAACAUACAAAGCUGCCAAAUAAUCCUUAUAUUGUAAUCAUGGCCCUAAAAGGGAGGAACUUGUCAACAAAUCUACCGCACAGCGCAUCAAUGAAAGCAGUUUGACAAUUACAGACGGGUGUGUUGGAUCAGGGUUAGAUCUGAAUUCUGCAGGUUUUCUGGAUUCCCAGUUGAAGACAUCAGUACAUCAGAUGUUGACCUGGACAGCUGUAUCUACAGUACACCACACUGACCUCUCUGCUUUUGCAUAGAUGACUUACUACUACCAUGUUCUAUAGUAUUAUUGGUAUUAUGUUCUAAGGUAUUAUUAUAGUAAAACUGAGCACCAGUGGAAUUUGUAGUUGUAAAGAAUAGACACAUGCGAAUUACAGGUAGUACAUUUAAACAUUUUUUAUUUUUUAUUUUUUUUAGGAGUUCCAAAUGUUUUUUUUACUCUUUCUCUCUAACAAACACAACACAAGUUACAUCAUUUAAAAUUCUGAGGUGCACAAAUCAUAUUCUACAAAUAACAAAUUAAGAAACUCAUGUGAAUGUGGGGCAAAACACAUUCACACACCCAAAUAAAAAAUGUGAAGUCAUGAACAAAUUUUGCACAUUUGCAUAUAUAUAGUCAUAGUCAGAAUUAUUGACACCCUUGGUAAAUAUGAACAAAGAAGCCUGUGAAAAUAAAUCUGCAUCGUAAGUCCUUUUUGAUAAAAGAUCAAAAAGGGGUAGGGGGAAGCUCAUGAGGAGUUUUUUUUUUUCUCUAAUACACAUUGGCCACAGUUAAUGGCACCCUUUUAUUCAGUACUUUUUGAAAUCUCCUUUUGCCACAGUAACAGCUCUGAGUCUCUCCUAUAAUGCUUGGUGAGUUUGAAGCUCACCUGACAAGAGAUCUUUGGAGAGUCAUUGGCCACUCAAACUAUCCUCCUCACCUUGCAUAUAGACAAUAUAGACACACAUCCUCUUCCAGGCAGAUCUGUGACAUUUUAAACAGUACAGAUUUAUUUUUACAGGCUUCUUUGAUCAUAUUUACUAAGGGUGCCAAUAAUUCUGACCACGACUGUAAGAAUGAGAACUUACGUGAGAUCUCACAUGACAUAUCAGAAUGUGAGAUCCCACUUGCACGCUUGAUUAGAAUUUGAAAUUCGAUCAAACUGAAUAGAAUAGAAUUGAACUGAAUAGAAUAGGUAAGUGAUAGCAUUAAUUGGUCGGGUUUUGAUGAAAAAGACAUUUUUUGAAAGUGGCUAAAGACUCAAAGCUAAAGCUGCUUGAAUUGAGAUAGGGAGGUCAUUCCAACAUGAACUUAUCUACAAAUACCAUAGUUAAAUUCUGGAAAAAUUAAAUACAUCCCGUAUUUGUGAUUUGUAGAAUAGGAUUUAUGCACCUGCAGUGACGAUUUUGAGAUGGUUUUGUUGGUUUGUGAGAGAGAAAGAAACAAAAUAUAAUUUUGCAACUCCUAAAACAUUUUCUUGAUGACUUUACUGAAAUAUUCUCUACAAAUACACAUUCCAUGCUCAUAGGUGCUCAGUUUUGCUACAAUAAUUCUAGACACAAUAGAUGCACUUUAUGCAAAUAUAAAAAAGGGACAUAAACAACUGAAUAUUCAGGGAAAAUAAAAUAAUUCUUGAUAAUCUUUAAAAUGAGAGAAUCACUGAUACUGACUUAGGCUACUUUCUUCAACUGCAGAAAAAAACGAAACUAUUAAAAUUUGCUAAGUGCCCUUGAAAGGUAUCAUUACGCCGUUUGGAACCGUAAGGCCAGUUUAUGAAUUGGAAGUAAAGAUAAUUUGCAACACAACUUAAUAUAGACUUUCAAACUGGUCAUCACCAGUAGGCUACUAUGCAAUCUCCUGACAUUGAACAGUUAUAAAAUGAUUUAGGACAACACUGUACGAAGACCAUACUUUCGUCGUAGCAAGGUAAUUGCGACUUAGUGGCAACGACGUAAAUAAGUUAACCAUAAUACGUAACUGCAAUGUAAUUUGACGACCAAACUAUUACGUUGUGACAACCGGAAAAGUGAAAUUCCUGGAAACGUUGCUACAACGAAACUUUGUGACGUUGUCAGUUAGUAAUAAGGACGGUCUGACAACGUUGAGGAUCACUACGUGGCACAUUUUCAGUAGAUUCUUAUGCCUUCGUUUCUCUUUCUCUUUUUUUUUUUUUUUUUUAAUAGAAUAGCCUUGUAACACUUAACUCUUAUUUAAAAGUUAAAAUGAAAACGACUAACCUGUUCUUUUGUUGUUUCUUAGUUCCUAUGAAGUGUUCCAUUUCUUUCUUCUUUCAAACAAAAUAAAUAAAUUAUAUAUAAUAUAAUAAUGUGUAUUGUUUUCAAAAAUAGAUCGUUGUAGCAACGUAUCCGGGAAUUUCACUUUUCCGGUUGCCACAACGUAACUAGUAACUAGUUACGUUGUCACAACGAAAGCUUGGUCGUCAAAUUACGUUGCAGUUAUGUAACAAUCACAUAUUAUGGUUAGCUGGGAUACUCUCAAUAUAUUAUAACUUUAAUUUCUACGAUUUAAAUGAUCGAAACAUUUCGAUUUUAUUCUCGUAACAUUAUUCUCGUAACAUUUCGACUUUAUUCUCGUAAUAUUUCGACUUUAUUCUCGUAGUAUUUCGACUUUAUUCUCGAAACAUUUCGACUUUA
This is a long non-coding RNA of Onychostoma macrolepis, 3650 nucleotides long. RefSeq lists it as uncharacterized. The record is from RefSeq and is a predicted model, not a curated record. Lineage: Eukaryota; Metazoa; Chordata; Actinopteri; Cypriniformes; Cyprinidae. The transcript is spliced from 5 exons.